UUAGGAAACACAGAUAUUUAUUCAAAUAUUUUUCCACUGUAUACUAUCAGACAGGGUGCAAUUGGGGCCAUUUCCCCCAACAUCAGCAUAGUUCUGGCAUAGCUAGGAGGAGACUUGAACACAAGUUAUUUACUGAGGUUUAUUUUCGAGCAAUGCAGAAACAAAAAGGCCCAAUUAUAAUCUUCUUUAGACCAAACUAACUCCAUUGGCUUUAGUAGAUUUGUUCCUGACAGAGCUGUUCCUGAGAUCCAAAAGAAAACCCAAAGUGCCACUUAGUACUGAAAUCCUUCUUGCUAUUUUACAUUUCUUUGGAAAAUUGCAUAAAGUCUGUGGUUGUUUAAGUCACUCAAUGCAAGAAAAAAAAAAUUUGCUGCAGUACUGUGGUUACAGACCCAUACUGUUCAUAAAAACAAAUGCAAAAGUCUAGCAAAAGGGUCGGUUCUGUCUGGAAAAUGGUGGGUUUUACCUUCUCAGUCGAUACAAAUGUGUGUGCACACACUUCUAAAAUUCCUAUUAUUAAACACAGUGAGAAGACUGACAAGCUGCCUGUCCAAGGCAAAGAAAUGAGAUGUUCCAGCCACUCUGGACACCGCCAGCAUUGCUGGCUCAACUUCUUUCACAUGGUAAAAGAAGCUACAAGAAGUUCAUUUUGAAGACCAGGUUAUUAUGCAAUGGCCUUGGUUACAUCAGCACAGCAAGGGAAGCACUGGGGGAGAGUAAAUAAAUGUCAAGGGUCUGUGUCUGCGAGACAGCAGCUGCCUGCAGAGUGCCUGCAGGAAGCCAGCCGUGGAUUACUGCCAGGGAGAGCACCAGUGGCACCCGGCCAGCACAGGCAUUGCCACCCUCCUACAGCAGCAGAGCUCAGACCACGAGACUCUGGUACCCACAGCAGCCCCCAGCACUGUGGAUACAGGGCUGGGGCUGGACGUGCCAACCCCCUGGUUCACCCCACUGCACCCAAGCCAGGUUUUGCAGCACUGCUGGUCAGGACAGAGACGAUAAAGCAGGGAAACAGGCACUGGGACACAAAGUCUCCACAGAGGGGUCCAGGCAUCCCACUGCUCCAUCCCAGCUCCUUCUGCUAAGCCAUUAGCUUCUCAGAGAAACAAACUCUCUUUCUGAAGGAGUGGCAUGCUCUAAAAAUGAAUUGGCCAUGGCUGUACAUUUGUAUUACCUAAUUUUUGAACCACUGCCUUCAAAGGAGAAAUCCGUAAGGAAAAGGAUGGAAUGACAUAUAAACCAGCAUUAACAAAUUACAAGGCCAGGCUGGAUGUGGCUUUGAGCAACCUGGUCUAGUGGAAGAUGUCCCAGCCCAUGGCAGGGGGUUGGAGCUAGAUAUUCUUUGGGGUCUCUUUCAACCCAAACCAUUCUAUGAUGCUAUGAUUUCAUGAUCCAUGCUAGAGUACUUUGCAGAACUUGGACUUUAGUAGCAAGUCAUGCUCUGAAACUAUUAAAUAAAUAGUAAGUAAAAAGUGUUGCUGAUUCUUCGAGCAUUUUACAUCCAAUGUACAUAUUCCCAGUUAUUAUUCUACCAUAAUAUGUGGUACUUCUCACAGCCAAAGCUUUUAUUUUAUAAACAUUGUGAAGUAAGGAGGCAGUUAUUUUUAUAAGGGAUCAUAACAUUAAGAAUGCCUAUGUAAUAAAUUGUCCUGUCAAAGUGGAAAAAAAAAAAAAAAAAAUGAAG
Molecule: long non-coding RNA, 1684 nt
Filed under: Strigops habroptila (Kakapo)
Lineage: Eukaryota; Metazoa; Chordata; Aves; Psittaciformes; Psittacidae
Description: lncRNA (ENSSHBG00005014880.1)
Source: RNAcentral